UUGAACGCUGGCGGCAGGCCUAACACAUGCAAGUUGAGCGGAUGAAGGCAGCUUGCUCCUGGAUUCAGCGGCGGACGGGUGAGUAAUGCCUAGGAAUCUGCCUGGUAGUGGGGGAUAACGUCCGGAAACGGGCGCUAAUACCGCAUACGUCCUGAGGGAUAAAGUGGGGGAUCUUCGGACAUCACGCUAUCAGAUGAGCCUAGGUCGUAUUAGAUAGUUGGUUGGGUAAAGGCCUACCAAGGCGACGAUCCUUAACUGGUCUGAGAGGAUGAUCAGUCACACUGGGACUGAGACACCGUCCAGACUCCUACGGGAGGCAGCAGGGGGGAAUAUUGGACAAUUGGCGAAAGCCUGAUCCAGCCAUGCCGCGUGUGUGAAGAAGGGCUUCGGAUUGUAAAGCACUUUAAGUUGGGAGGAAGGGCAGUAAGUUAAUACCUUGCUGUUUUGACGUUACCAACAGAAUAAGCACCGGCUAACUUCGUG
This 483-nucleotide ribosomal RNA is filed under the name uncultured bacterium. Its description in RNAcentral is "partial 16S ribosomal RNA". It matches the Rfam family "Bacterial small subunit ribosomal RNA", at positions 30 to 507 of the family's 1533-position model. The record is from RNAcentral.